ACCAGAGCAAUUGAAGUUCAUCAAGUUCCAUGGACCAUUGUUGAUCGGCCAAGAUUUUCUUAUCGAGGGCUUUUGAUUGACACUUCCCGUCACUAUCUGCCGUUGCCUGUGAUAUUGAAGGUCAUUGAUUCGAUGGCUUAUGCAAAACUGAAUGUGCUUCACUGGCACAUUGUAGAUACACAAUCAUUCCCACUUGAGAUACCAUCCUUUCCGAAACUGUGGAAUGGUGCUUACUCAAGUUCAGAGAGGUAUACUGUAGCUGAUGCUUCAGAGAUUGUGAGAUAUGCAGGAAGGCGUGGAAUCAAUGUAUUAGCUGAAUUAGACGUUCCAGGACAUGCUAAAUCUUGGGGUAUUGGUUAUCCUUCUUUAUGGCCGUCCAAAAACUGUCAAGAACCACUUGACGUGAGCAGUGAUUUCACUUUCAAAUUAAUAGACGGGAUUCUCUCAGAUUUUAGCAAGAUAUUUAAGUACAAAUUUGUUCAUCUAGGAGGUGAUGAAGUGGAUACAAGUUGCUGGACGUUAACUCCUCGAAUAAGCAAGUGGUUGAAGCAACACCGGUUCAAUGGAACCGGUGCUUAUGAGUACUUUGUCUUGCGAGCACAGAAGAUAGCUUUAUCCCAUGGAUACGAAAUUAUCAACUGGGAAGAGACAUUCAAUAAUUUUGGAAAUAAGUUGAGCCCAAAAACAAUAGUACACAACUGGCUCGGGGGCGGUGUUGCUCAGCAAGUAACUGCUGCUGGAUUGCGGUGCAUUGUUAGCAACCAGGACAAGUGGUAUUUGGACCAUAUUGAUACCACAUGGCAGAAUUUCUAUUCAAAUGAGCCACUAACUAAUAUUACAAAGCCUGAACAACAACGGCUGGUUAUGGGGGGUGAAGUUUGUAUGUGGGGUGAGCAUAUUGAUGGAUCAAACAUCGAAACAACCAUAUGGCCUCGUGCAGCAGCAGCUGCAGAGAGGCUAUGGACCGCUUAUGACAACAUUGCCAAGAAUCCAGAACAAGCUGCUCGUAGGUUGGCGUAUUUCAGAUGCCUAUUGAAUCAAAGAGGAGUGGCUUCUGGUCCAUUAAGCGGAGGCGGUCGAGCUGCCCCAGAUGAACCAGGUUCUUGCUAUGAGCAAUAGUUACCUCAACUGUUCUAUUUGCUCUCAUUCUUUCAUCAAUCCUUCUUAAGAAUAAAUUAAAAUCAUAUAUAUGCAUUAGAAGUUGUCGAUAUCCAUUGUAAGGCAACGCUCUCUGUUGUAA
This 1240-nucleotide unclassified non-coding RNA is filed under the name Hevea brasiliensis (rubber tree). The record is from RNAcentral. Lineage: Eukaryota; Viridiplantae; Streptophyta; Magnoliopsida; Malpighiales; Euphorbiaceae.